RNAcentral lists this ribosomal RNA (253 nucleotides) under uncultured bacterium. Its description in RNAcentral is "partial 16S ribosomal RNA". It matches the Rfam family "Bacterial small subunit ribosomal RNA", at positions 524 to 776 of the family's 1533-position model. The record is from RNAcentral.
GACGAAGGAUGCAAGCGUUAUCCGGAUUCAUUGGGUUUAAAGGGAGCGUAGGUGGUCUUAUAAGUCAGUGGUGAAAUCUCUGGGCUUAACCCAGAAAUUGCCAUUGAUACUGUAGGACUUGAGUAUAGUUGCCGUUGGCGGAAUAUGACAUGUAGUGGUGAAAUACAUAGAGAUGUCAUAGAACACCGAUUGCGAAGGCAGCUAACGAAACUAUAACUGACACUGAGGCUCGAAAGUGUGGAGAUCAAACAGG